This 912-nucleotide ribosomal RNA is filed under the name uncultured Candidatus Poseidoniales archaeon. Its description in RNAcentral is "bacterial SSU rRNA". It matches the Rfam family "Archaeal small subunit ribosomal RNA", at positions 1 to 923 of the family's 1478-position model. Lineage: Archaea; Methanobacteriati; Thermoplasmatota; Candidatus Poseidoniia; Candidatus Poseidoniales. The record is from RNAcentral.
UUCUGGUUGAUCCUGCCAGAGGCGACCGCUUUUGGAGUUCGAUUAAGCCAUGCGAGUAGAAUGAAUUAGAUCAUUGCAAACUGCUCAGUAACACGUGGAUAACCUGCCCUAUGCUCUGGGAUAACCUCGGGAAACUGAGAAGAAUACCGGAUAGACCACAACGCCUGGAACGGUGUGUGGUUGAAAGGUCACGGCAUAGGAUGGGUCUGCGGCGUAUCAGGUCGUAGGGGGUGUAACGGACCUCCUAGCCAUCGACGCGUACGGGUUGUGGGAGCAAUAGCCCGGAGAUGGAUUCUGAGACACGAAUCCAGACCCUACGGGGUGCAGCAGGCGCGAAAACUUCACACUGCAGGAAACUGUGAUGAGGGAACUCCAAGUGACUGCACAUUGUGUAGCCUUUUCUUUACUAUUAAUCGGUAUUGGAAUAAGGGCUGGGAAAGACCGGUGCCAGCCGCCGCGGUAAUACCGGCAGCUCAAGUGGUCGUCGCUUUUAUUGGGCCUAAAACGUCCGUAGCCUGUUUGGUAAAUCUGUGGGUAAAUCAACCAGCUUAACUGGUUGAAUUCUGCAGAGACUGCCAGACUAGGGACCGGGAGAGGUGUGGGGUACUCUAGGGGUAGGGGUAAAAUCCUGUCAUCCUUAGAGGACCACCAGUUGCGAAGGCGCCACACUGGAACGGAUCCGACGGUCAGGGACGAAGCCUAGGGGCACGAACCGGAUUAGAUACCCGGGUAGUCCUAGGUGUAAACGCUGUGAACUUGGUGUCGGGAGUCCGCAAUGGGCCCCCGGUGCCGGAGUGAAGAUGUUAAGUUCACUGCCUGGGGAGUACGGUCGCAAGGCUGAAACUUAAAGGAAUUGGCGGGGGAGCACUGCAACGGGAGGAGCGUGCGGUUUAAUUGGACUCAACGCCGGGA